This 462-nucleotide ribosomal RNA is filed under the name uncultured bacterium. RNAcentral's name for it is "partial 16S ribosomal RNA". It matches the Rfam family "Bacterial small subunit ribosomal RNA", at positions 28 to 507 of the family's 1533-position model. The record is from RNAcentral.
GACGAACGCUGGCGGCGUGCUUAACACAUGCAAGUCGAGCGGAAAGGCCCUUCGGGGUACUCGAGCGGCGAACGGGUGGGUAACACGUGAGUAACCUGCUCCAGACUUUGGGAUAACCCCCGGAAACGGGGGCUAAUACUGGAUACGACACAGCUUCGCAUGGGGUCUGUGUGGAAAGUUCUUCGGUUUGGGAUGGGCUCGCGGCCUAUCAGCUUGUUGGUGGGGUGAUGGCCUAUCAAGGCGACGAAGGGUAGCCGGCCUGUGAGGGCGAACGGCGACACUGGGACUGAGAGACGGCGCAGACUGGUACGGGAGGCAGCAGGGGGGAAUAUUGCACAGUGGGGGGAAGCGUGAUGCAGAGGUGCCGCGUGUGGGAUGACGGCCUUCGGGUGGUAAACCUCUGUAAGCAGAGACGAAGCGGAAGUGACGGUACCUGCAGAAGAAGCGCCGGCCAACUACGUG